This 237-nucleotide ribosomal RNA is filed under the name uncultured bacterium. Its description in RNAcentral is "partial 16S ribosomal RNA". It matches the Rfam family "Bacterial small subunit ribosomal RNA", at positions 96 to 334 of the family's 1533-position model. The record is from RNAcentral.
UGGCGGACGGGUGAGUAACGCGUGGGUAACCUGCCUCAUACAGGGGGAUAACAGUUAGAAAUGACUGCUAAUACCGCAUAAGACCACAGCACCGCAUGGUGCAGGGGUAAAAACUCCGGUGGUAUGAGAUGGACCCGCGUCUGAUUAGGUAGUUGGUGGGUAACGGCCUACCAAGCCGACGAUCAGUAGCCGACCUGAGAGGGUGACCGGCCACAUUGGGACUGAGACACGGCCCAA